Molecule: ribosomal RNA, 253 nt
Filed under: uncultured bacterium
Lineage: Bacteria
Description: partial 16S ribosomal RNA
Rfam family: Bacterial small subunit ribosomal RNA
Source: RNAcentral
UACGUAGGGUGCGAGCGUUAAUCGGAAUUACUGGGCGUAAAGUGUGCGCAGGCGGCUUCGCAAGUCGAGUGUGAAAUCCCCGAGCUUAACUUGGGAACUGCCGUUGAUACUAUCUGUCUUGAAUAUCGUGGAGGUAAGCGGAAUAUGUCAUGUAGCGGUGAAAUGCUUAGAGAUGACAUAGAACACCAAUUGCGAAGGCAGCUUGCUACACGGUAAUUGACACUGAGGCACGAAAGCGUGGGGAGCAAACAGG